GAGCCGUUAGCUCAGAUCGGUAGAGCACCUGACUUUUAAUCAGGGGGUCCCGGGUUCGAUCCCCGGACGGCUCACCA
Molecule: transfer RNA, 77 nt
Filed under: Candidatus Rokuibacteriota bacterium
Lineage: Bacteria; Candidatus Rokuibacteriota
Description: Candidatus Rokubacteria bacterium tRNA-Lys
Rfam family: tRNA
About the family: Transfer RNA (tRNA) molecules are approximately 80 nucleotides in length. Their secondary structure includes four short double-helical elements and three loops (D, anti-codon, and T loops). Further hydrogen bonds mediate the characteristic L-shaped molecular structure. tRNAs have two regions of fundamental functional importance: the anti-codon, which is responsible for specific mRNA codon recognition, and the 3' end, to which the tRNAs corresponding amino acid is attached (by aminoacyl-tRNA synthetases). tRNAs cope with the degeneracy of the genetic code in two manners: having more than one tRNA (with a specific anti-codon) for a particular amino acid; and 'wobble' base-pairing, i.e. permitting non-standard base-pairing at the 3rd anti-codon position.
Source: RNAcentral